RNAcentral lists this ribosomal RNA (460 nucleotides) under uncultured bacterium. RNAcentral's name for it is "partial 16S ribosomal RNA". It matches the Rfam family "Bacterial small subunit ribosomal RNA", at positions 338 to 795 of the family's 1533-position model. The record is from RNAcentral.
CCUACGGGAGGCUGCAGUGAGGAAUAUUGGUCAAUGGGCUUACGCCUGAACCAGCCAAGUCGCGUGAGGGAAGACUGCCCUAUGGGUUGUAAACCUCUUUUGUCAGGGAGCAAUUGGCGCUACGUGUAGCGUUAUCGAGAGUACCUGAAGAAAAAGCAUCGGCUAACUCCGUGCCAGCAGCCGCGGUAAUACGGAGGAUGCGAGCGUUAUCCGGAUUGAUUGGGUUUAAAGGGUGCGUAGGCGGAAUGCCAAGUCAGCGGUAAAAUCGCGGGGCUCAACCUCGCUCCGCCGUUGAAACUGGCGUUCUUGAGUGGGCGAGAGGUAUGCGGAAUGCGUGGUGUAGCGGUGAAAUGCAUAGAUAUCACGCAGAACUCCGAUUGCGAAGGCAGCAUACCGGCGCCCAACUGACGCUGAAGCACGAAAGCGUGGGUAUCGAACAGGAUUAGAUACCCCAGUAGUC